UACGAAGGGUGCAAGCGUUACUCGGAAUUAUUGGGCGUAAAGCGCGCGCAGGUGGUUCUUUAAGUCUGAUGUGAAAGCCCCCGGCUCAACCGGGGAGGGUCAUUGGAAACUGGGGAACUUGAGUGCAGAAGAGGAAAGUGGAAUUCCACGUGUAGCGGUGAAAUGCGUAGAGAUGUGGAGGAACACCAGUGGCGAAGGCGACUUUCUGGUCUGUAACUGACACUGAGGCGCGAAAGCGUGGGGAGCGAACAGG
This 253-nucleotide ribosomal RNA is filed under the name uncultured bacterium. Its description in RNAcentral is "partial 16S ribosomal RNA". It matches the Rfam family "Bacterial small subunit ribosomal RNA", at positions 524 to 776 of the family's 1533-position model. The record is from RNAcentral.